CCGAGUUUACAACUCCCAAACCCAAUGUGAACAUACCCCAAUGUUGCCUCGGCGGGACCGCCCCGGCGCCCUCACCGGCCCGGAACCAGGCGCCCGCCGCAGGACCCAAACCUCUGUUUUACUUUAUGUAUUCUCCUCUGAGUGGAUUUUACAAAUAAAUCA
Molecule: unclassified non-coding RNA, 162 nt
Filed under: uncultured Myrothecium
Lineage: Eukaryota; Fungi; Ascomycota; Sordariomycetes; Hypocreales
Description: sequence contains ITS1
Source: RNAcentral